Molecule: ribosomal RNA, 253 nt
Filed under: uncultured bacterium
Lineage: Bacteria
Description: partial 16S ribosomal RNA
Rfam family: Bacterial small subunit ribosomal RNA
Source: RNAcentral
UACGUAGGGGGCUAGCGUUGUCCGGAAUCAUUGGGCGUAAAGCGCGUGUAGGCGGUCCGGUAAGUCCGCUGUGAAAGUCGAGGGCUCAACCCUCGAAUGCCGGUGGAUACUGUCGGGCUAGAGUCCGGAAGGGGCGAGUGGAAUUCCUGGUGUAGCGGUGAAAUGCGCAGAUAUCAGGAGGAACACCGGUGGCGAAGGCGGAUCUCUGGGCCUUACCUGACGCUGAGGCGCGAAAGCUAGGGGAGCAAACAGG